RNAcentral lists this ribosomal RNA (253 nucleotides) under uncultured bacterium. RNAcentral's name for it is "partial 16S ribosomal RNA". It matches the Rfam family "Bacterial small subunit ribosomal RNA", at positions 524 to 776 of the family's 1533-position model. The record is from RNAcentral.
UACGUAGGGUGCAAGCGUUAAUCGGAAUUACUGGGCGUAAAGCGUGCGCAGGCGGUGAUGUAAGACAGUUGUGAAAUCCCCGGGCUCAACCUGGGAACUGCAUCUGUGACUGCAUCGCUGGAGUGAUGCAGAGGUCGAUGGAAUUGCCGGUGUAGUGGUGAAAUGCGUAGAGAUCGGCAGGAACACCCAGGGGGAAACCAGUCGACUGGGCAUCUACUGACGCUGAGGUGCGAGAGCGUGGGGAGCGAACCGG